CCCUUAGAUGUUCUGGGCCGCACGCGCGCUACACUGAUGCAUUCAACGAGCCUAUCCUUGACCGACAGGUCCGGGUAAUCUUUGAAUCUGCAUCGUGACGGGGAUAGAUUAUUGCAAUUAUUAAUCUUCAACGAGGAAUGCCUAGUAGGCGCAAGUCAUCGGCUUGCGUCGAUUACGUCCCUGCCCUUUGUACACACCGCCCGUCGCUCCUACCGAUUGGGUGUGCUGGUGAAAUGUUCGGAUCGGCCGUUUGUCGCGGUUUCCGCGGCUCGUGGCUGAGAAGUUCAUUAAACCCUCCCACCGAGAGGAAGGAGAAGUCGUAACA
RNAcentral lists this ribosomal RNA (325 nucleotides) under uncultured eukaryote. Its description in RNAcentral is "partial 18S ribosomal RNA". It matches the Rfam family "Eukaryotic small subunit ribosomal RNA", at positions 1470 to 1796 of the family's 1831-position model. The record is from RNAcentral.